AUUUAUAUUUAUAUUCUGUUGAUGUGUUUUUAAUGAUAAAUCAAACAAAAUUAUUAGUUUUUUAUUUCUGUAUUUUAAUUAAGUAACGAAUAUUAAUUUGUUUGAACAGUUAAGGUUAUAUACGAAAGACUAUUGGAAAAUUAUGCUUACGUCUAGAAAACAUCAUAAUUAUAUCAAAGUAGUAAGUGCGGAAAUAUAAAGUACUAUGGCCAUGUUUCAAUGAAAAUUACAUUGAAACGGAGAUGUCUUCCUCAAAAAUGAUAUCUAUGGUGUAACAAUCUUAGGAGGAAGAAUCGAUCUGUAACCACAUAACAGCAUACACUAUUAUCGAUCAAAGAUACGUAAACAGCCUGUAGUAUAGUCGCGCACACGCUGUGACCAGGCCACUUAGCGUAUGUUUGUUUAGUACCUUUUACGACUAUAUCGUCUGGGCAUGUGUUAGGUUACGAAGGAGCCAGUGUCUAGUGUCUAGCUGAGGGUUGGAUGGCACGGCGCCAUACUUCGAGAGGGUCAUUUAUAACUGUUAUCGUGAGACUUACUAGGCCACUUACUACCUCCACUGUGUCUAUUCUUCACCCCUCUUCUAUUUUACAGAAAGAAACUUAAUUUUCUAUAAAUAAUCUAUUCCUUCCUUGAUGGACGAUCAAUGACUUCAUAGUUGAGAAACUAUAGGAAAGUAGAGAAGAUUAUGUAAAAUAUAUAAUUGUUGUCGGGCCAAUUACAAACCUGUUUUCAUUAGCUUUAGAACUUGUAACUGUAAUAAUUGUGCACACGAUCCUAAUCCUUUGUUCUCGCAAAGCAACUUUGAGUGGUGAACUGACUGAACUUUGGACACAUAAUGCUUACAGUUGGUAAUAUGCUAGCAUUACAUAAACCUACGUGAUAACUAUGCGUAGGUAAAUUUUCAUCUUUAAUAUUGCCAAGUAUAAUUUCUGUCACAAUAUAAAUGUAAGUAUAUUUUCAACUUACAUUUACCAUAGAAAUAUAUUAAUUUUAACAAAUGACAUUUAAUUUUAAAUAGUAUACGAGUUGUUUGGCAAAUUACAUAGACAGCGAGGAUAAAACUGAUAACAUCUAUUGAAAUUCUUCAUAUUUAUCGAACACGCAGAAUAGUCGAUAUCACUUUUGUGGUUAUUCUUCAGAUUAUACAGCAUUUUAUUUAUUACAAUACGUGAAACGAGAAAGUGUCGCGACAUUGGUGUUACAACUGACAGUUGGUCGGGGACAUUUCUCAUCGCUUUUUUGUCUGUCGCUCAGGGACGUAGCACUUAAUUCUAAUAUGGAAAUAUGUCGUGCACUCCGCAAGCCGACGAUUAAUGCGAAUAAAUCGAUUUUUGGCGUAGAGGUACGACGGUUGCCGCCAAAUCCUGGAAGCUACGCCAAGUGGCGGAAACACGAGAAUUCCAUCUGGAUUUACUAAGAUCAGUGCCAUUUAAUGUGGGGCUCGAUAAAUCCCUUAAAAGCUGGUGGUCCGCAAGAAGACGGCGCAUUACAAUUUUCCAGAAAGGAGAAUGGCGAACGUCUAGAGAAGACGCAGACAAAUCUGCAAAUGCAAGGCUUCAGGUGCCAAAUGCUUUCAUCGUAUAACGAAUCCAUAAUUAAUGAAUAUUAUAUAAUAUUUAAAUUUUCGCGCGGUUUGAGUGAAUAAGGAACUAUAUCACGCUAGCCAAUUAGAAGCGUUCUAGGCGUAAAAGCGCGGGAACCUGUGGCGCGAGACGUCAUUGUAGUGUCGAAAAUUAUCGUGACAGGACGUGUCAUCGUUCGAGUGCGAAAUUUUAACUGCGCAAUUAUCGUCCUGUGAAUUGUGAAUUGUGUUCUUAUUGUGACUUGUGAAGGAAGCACUCGUAUCUCACGACAAUUUAUAGCCAUAUUAUGACAUAUCAGAUAUUACUUCAGAUAUACUCGCCAGAAAUCAUCUUAAAUAAAUACGACAAAGAUUUGGAUUCCAUCUGAAAUGAAAAGAAAUGGUUAGAAGUCAGAUGCAAUAGUAACUUUGGAAGAGAAUAGCGGAAGGCGAAGAAAUGUGCCUAAUUGUUUUCUUCCCAUCUAUUCAUCUUCUCUUUCAUCACGCCAGAAGCUAUUGUAUAUUGCAAAAACGGGGCAAGAUGUGUAUCCAUCUUCGCGGAUUCAUCAUAAUGGGUGAGUUUCAGAGACAAUUUAUUAAUAUUUAUUUGAU
RNAcentral lists this long non-coding RNA (2176 nucleotides) under Apis florea (little honeybee). RNAcentral describes it as "uncharacterized LOC105736363, transcript variant X2". Lineage: Eukaryota; Metazoa; Arthropoda; Insecta; Hymenoptera; Apidae. The record is from RNAcentral.